UUUAGUGGCGGACUGGUGAGUAACGCGUGAGCACCUGCCUACUAGAGGGGAAUAACAGUGAGAAAUCAUUGCUAAUACCGCAUAUGAUCACAUGAUGAAAGAGUAAUCUGCUAUAGAUGGGCUCGCGUCUGAUUAGAUAGUUGGUGGGGUAACGGCCUACCAAGUCGACGAUCAGUAGCCGGACUGAGAGGCUGAACGGCCACAUUGGGACUGAGACACGGCCCAGACUCCUACGGGAGGCAGCAGUGGGGAAUAUUGCACAAUGGGGGAAACCCUGAUGCAGCGACGCCGCGUGGAGGAAGAAGGUCUUCGGAUUGUAAACUCCUGUCCCAGGGGACGAUAAUGACGGUACCCUGGGAGGAAGCACCGGCUAACUACGUGCCAGCAGCCGCGGUAAAACGUAGGGUGCAAGCGUUGUCCGGAAUUACUGGGUGUAAAGGGAGCGCAGGCGGAUUGGCAAGUUGGGAGUGAAAUCUAUGGGCUCAACCCAUAAAUUGCUUUCAAAACUGUCAGUCUUGAGUGGUGUAGAGGUAGGCGGAAUUCCCGGUGUAGCGGUGGAAUGCGUAGAUAUCGGGAGGAACACCAGUGGCGAAGGCGGCCUACUGGGCACUAACUGACGCUGAGGCUCGAAAGCAUGGGUAG
This 642-nucleotide ribosomal RNA is filed under the name uncultured bacterium. RNAcentral describes it as "bacterial SSU rRNA". It matches the Rfam family "Bacterial small subunit ribosomal RNA", at positions 91 to 768 of the family's 1533-position model. The record is from RNAcentral.